GCAUAUCAAUAAGCGCAGGAAAAGAAACCAACAGGGAUUGCCUCAGUAACGGCGAGUGAAGCGGCAACAGCUCAAAUUUGAAAUCUGGCCUCUUGGGGUCCGAGUUGUAAUUUGUAGAGGAUGUUUCGGGUACCGCCUCGGUUUAAAUUUCUUGGAACAGAAUGUCAAAGAGGGUGAGAAUCCCGUCUUGGACCGGCGGUAGGGCCUAUGUGAAACUCCUUCGACGAGUCGAGUUGUUUGGGAAUGCAGCUCAAAAUGGGUGGUAAAUUUCAUCUAAAGCUAAAUAUUGGCCAGAGACCGAUAGCGCACAAGUAGAGUGAUCGAAAGAUGAAAAGCACUUUGAAAAGAGAGUUAAACAGUAUGUGAAAUUGUUGAAAGGGAAGCGCUUGCAACCAGACUUGAGCGCGGCGGUUCCCCCUUGCUUCUGCUUGGGUUACUCCGCCGUGUCCAGGCCAACAUCGGUUCUGGGGGUCGGUCAAAGGCUCUGGGAAUGUAUCUACCCACGGGUAGACUUAUAGACCAGGGUGUCAUGCGACCUCCCGGGACCGAGGAACGCGCUUCGGCUCGGAUGUUGGCGUAAUGGUUGUCAGCGACCCGUCUUGAAACACGGACCAAGGAGUCUAACAUCUAUGCGAGUGUUUGGGUGUCAAACCCGGAACGCGGAAUGAAAGUGAACGGAGGUAGGAAGCUUCGGCUGCACUAUCGACCGAUCCUGAAGUUUACGGAUGGAUUUGAGUAAGAGCAUAGCUGUUGGGACCCGAAAGAUGGUGAACUAUGCCUGAAUAGGGUGAAGCCAGAGGAAACUCUGGUGGAGGCUCGCAGCGGUUCUGACGUGCAAAUCGAUCGUCAAAUUUGGGUAUAGGGGCGAAAGACUAAUCGAACCAUCUGGUAGCUGGUUCCUGCCGAA
RNAcentral lists this ribosomal RNA (907 nucleotides) under Fonsecaea pedrosoi. RNAcentral describes it as "LSU rRNA". It matches the Rfam family "Eukaryotic large subunit ribosomal RNA", at positions 38 to 965 of the family's 3401-position model. Lineage: Eukaryota; Fungi; Ascomycota; Eurotiomycetes; Chaetothyriales; Herpotrichiellaceae. The record is from RNAcentral.